AACGAACGCUGGCGGCAGGCCUAACACAUGCAAGUCGAGCGAGGACUUCGGUCCUAGCGGCGGACGGGUGAGUAACGCGUGGGAACGUGCCCUUUGCUUCGGAAUAGCCCUGGGAAACUGGGAGUAAUACCGGAUGAGCCCUUUGGGGGAAAGAUUUAUCGGCGAAGGAUCGGCCCGCGUUGGAUUAGGUAGUUGGUGGGGUAAUGGCCUACCAAGCCGGCGAUCCAUAGCUGGUUUGAGAGGAUGAUCAGCCACACUGGGACUGAGACACGGCCCAGACUCCUACGGGAGGCAGCAGUGGGGAAUCUUAGACAAUGGGGGAAACCCUGAUCUAGCCAUGCCGCGUGAGCGAUGAAGGCCUUAGGGUUGUAAAGCUCUUUCAGCUGGGAAGAUAAUGACGGUACCAGCAGAAGAAGCCCCGGCUAACUCCGUG
RNAcentral lists this ribosomal RNA (433 nucleotides) under uncultured bacterium. RNAcentral's name for it is "partial 16S ribosomal RNA". It matches the Rfam family "Bacterial small subunit ribosomal RNA", at positions 29 to 507 of the family's 1533-position model. The record is from RNAcentral.